Molecule: ribosomal RNA, 301 nt
Filed under: uncultured bacterium
Lineage: Bacteria
Description: partial 16S ribosomal RNA
Rfam family: Bacterial small subunit ribosomal RNA
Source: RNAcentral
CAGUCGCCGCGGGAAUACAGAGGGUGCGAGCGUUAAUCGGAUUUACUGGGCGUAAAGCGUGCGUAGGCGGCUUUUUAAGUCGGAUGUGAAAUCCCUGAGCUUAACUUAGGAAUUGCAUUCGAUACUGGGAAGCUAGAGUAUGGGAGAGGAUGGUAGAAUUCCAGGUGUAGCGGUGAAAUGCGUAGAGAUCUGGAGGAAUACCGAUGGCGAAGGCAGCCAUCUGGACUAAUACUGACGCUGAGGUACGAAAGCAUGGGGAGCAAACAGGAUUAGAUACCCCCGUAGUCCCUGUCUCUUAUAC